UAUAAACCCUAAAGGCCGAAUGAUUGAGC
RNAcentral lists this non-coding RNA (29 nucleotides) under Bombyx mori (domestic silkworm). The record is from RNAcentral. Lineage: Eukaryota; Metazoa; Arthropoda; Insecta; Lepidoptera; Bombycidae.